Molecule: long non-coding RNA, 1442 nt
Organism: Strongylocentrotus purpuratus (purple sea urchin)
Lineage: Eukaryota; Metazoa; Echinodermata; Echinoidea; Camarodonta; Strongylocentrotidae
Exons: 2
Source: RefSeq, a predicted model, not a curated record
UCUCCUUUCCUUUUUUCUCUUCUUUUCUCCCUCUUUUUUCCUUAUCCUUUUUUUUAGGUACCGCCAAUAGGGGAGCCGCGGACGUUCCGGCAACCCCCCCCCCCCUUGAUCCGCUACUGGCUACGUACACUAUAACUCUUAAAGUAGUUUUGUCUUGUUUUCCGCAGACAACGAGCCCCCUUGUUGGGAAUGCCGUGACAUGCAAACAUCCAUCGCGGAUCAAGACCUUGCUAGCAUCGCUUUCAUCCCAUCUGUGUCAGACAACGUAGAUCCAAAUCCGUCCAUUAACUGCUCUCACACAUCCGUAGAUCUUUCUCAUCUUGGAGACACUAGCAUCACAUGUGAAGCAAAAGAUUCUUCUGGAAACAUUGCCGUCUGUACUUUUAUGUUUACUGUAGGAUAUUUCCAGAGAAGGCCGGUCUCCUAAGCAAUCUAACUCCAGUAUGUUGGUAAUGUAUGGUCUACUGCAAACAGGUGAUUAGCUCUGGUGAAGCUAUGAUUUUCCUAAGAAUGUACAUUUAAAGACAAAUGUAAUGCCAGGGCUUAAUUUGUAUCAUCAUCUCUGAUAAUAUAAUGGUUCUUUUGGAGUUUUAGGUAAUUUUGAAGACAAAUGUCAUAUUAAGAGAAUGGGACAUUGUACAAAAGGAUCUUUUGUACAACCAACACUAUGAUGUGUUUUCACAAUGAGGAGGUAUUUAAGCUAACUUUGUACCAAAUUUUAAGAGUUUUAUAUAGAUUUAUUUCAAUUUUCUCUAUCCCUCAAUCUAAGUUGACUAUUUCAAUGACUUUGGAUCAUGUUGCCCCGUAUCAAGUCUUGUUAGGGUAUCUAAUGCUACGCAAUGCUGAGCAAAUAGAGAAUAAGCAACGUGUCCAUUCUCUCUAAACUCUGUAACAUCCGCCCCAUAAUUUAUCAAUAUCAUCUAAUUCUAAUUACAUCAGAGAAGAGAAGUGCCAUGAAUGUAAGUAAAGAGAUAAUGAGAUAUUUUUAGCCUGUUUUAUGUCAAUAAUAUGUUAAAUUAAUUGGAAUGUAUAAAACUCUGGCUGUCACAUGCUCAAUGCAAAGAGCGUUUCCACUGUACAUAGAUGUUUCGUGUAAAAUCAAGGGGGAUUUUAUGUAGAACUGACUGUUUACAUGGUAAAGAUGUGUCUUUUUUAAUCUAAACAUCUUGAAAAUAACAUUUAGUUCUCCAAACUUAAAAAAAAGUAUUAAUCAAGAUGUUCACAUCUAAAAAUGUCACAUCCGCGAGGGCAUUUCAAGCAUUAAUUCAUGAAGUUGUACAUAUAACAAUUUAUACGUACAGCAAUCUCUUCAUCAGUGGUAUAGUUAGAUUGUCAUUACCGUAGAGGCUAAAACGUAAUCCCCUAUUACCGUUGUAUAUAAAGUAAUAAAUGUUUGAUUACUGUGUUUAAGUUCAGAGAAAUGAAUCCCAGAUUUAUUUGGG